GUACUGUUAUUUCUGGUAACUGGAUAAAACCAAGAGUCCAGCCACCACCUUGUAGAAGAAAUCCCAGUGGAUCUUUUGAUGUUUAACAGAAUGAAUGCUCUGUAUUAAACACAUCACACUUGAAGUUCGGUCAUGAUUGCCUGUUGUGUUAAAUAUAUCCCAAUGCUACUACAGCUUAUAGGAAUGACCGCAUCAGUGCGGUGUGGCAUGGAAGGAAUCAGCCUGUGGCACUGUUGAGGUGUUAUGGAAGCCCAAGCUGCUUUGAUAGCGGCCUUCAGCUCGUCUGUAUUGUUGGGUCUGGUGUCUCUUGUAGAUUCUCCAUGGGGUUCGGGUCAGGCGAGUCGGCUGGCCAAUCAAGCACAGUAAUACCAUGGUCAGCAAACCAGUUACUAGUAGUUUUGGCACUGUGGACAGAAAAGGAAAUCAGAAUCUCC
Long non-coding RNA from Ictalurus punctatus (channel catfish), 434 nucleotides. NCBI's taxonomy places the organism in Eukaryota, Metazoa, Chordata, Actinopteri, Siluriformes, Ictaluridae. The record is from Ensembl.